This 1351-nucleotide ribosomal RNA is filed under the name uncultured marine eukaryote. Its description in RNAcentral is "SSU rRNA". It matches the Rfam family "Eukaryotic small subunit ribosomal RNA", at positions 1 to 1349 of the family's 1831-position model. The record is from RNAcentral.
UAACCUGGUUGAUCCUGCCAGUAGUCAUAUGCUUGUCUCAAAGAUUAAGCCAUGCAUGUCUAAGUAUAAAGGUUUAUACAAUGAAACUGCGAAUGGCUCAUUCAAACAGUUAUAGUUUAUUUGAUAUUCGAAUUUAUAUUCAUAAUGGAUAACCGUAGUAAUUCUAGAGCUAAUACAUGCGUUACGGGGGACUUUUUGGAACCCCAGUAUUUAUUAAUUCUUCUUUAAACCAGUGCCUCGCAAGGGGCGUUGUGGUGAUUCAUGAUAACUGAUCGAAUCGCUGGGUCGUACCCGCGAUAACUCAUUCAAGUUUCUGCCCCAUCAGCUUGAUGGUAGUGUAUUGGACAACCAUGGCUUUCACGGGUAACGGGGGAUUAGGGUUCGAUUCCGGAGAGGGAGCCUGAUAAACGGCUACCACUUCUACGGAAGGCAGCAGGCGCGUAAAUUAUCCAAUCCUGAUUUAGGGAGGUAGUGACAAGAAAUAAUGAACUGGGAUUUAUCCCGGGGUUACAAUGGGCUUGAUUUGCAAACCUUAUUUUUAGCGAGGAACAAUUGGAGGGCAAGUCUGGUGCCAGCAGCCGCGGUAAUUCCAGCUCCAAUAGUGUAUAUUAAAGUUGUUGCAGUUAUACAAAGCUCGUAGUUGGACUUCUGAAGGUGGAGACUGGCGGGUGGCUAUGGCUGCUGCCGGUCGCUUCCUUCAUCCUUCUGUUAACAAGGAUCGGGAUUGAUUUUUCGGCCUUGGGCUCAGAUAUUUUACCUUUUAUUUGAGCAAAUUAUAGUGUUUCAGGCAGGCGUGCGCCGGAAUACAUUAGCAUGGAAUAAUCGAAUAGGACCGUGUUUCUUUUAUGGUUUCUUGAGGGGCAUGGUAAUGAUUAAUAGGAAUAGUUGAGGGGGCUAAAGUAUUUAAUUUCCAGAGGUGAAAUUCUUUGAAAUAUUAAAGACUAACGUAUGCGAAAGCAUUUGCCAAGAAUUUUUCUUUUAAUCAAGAACGAAAGUUAGGGGAUCAAAGACGAUCAGAUACCGUCCUAGUCUUAACCAUAAACUAUGCCGACUAGGGAUCGGGGGACGUGCACAUUCCGCCUUCGGCACCUUACGAGAAAUCAAAGUCUUUGGGUUCUGGGGGUAGUAUGGUCGCAAGGCUGAAACUUAAAGGAAUUGACGGAAGGGCACCACCAGGAGUGGAGCUUGCGGCUCAAUUUGACUCAACACGGGAAAACUUACCAGGUCCAGACAUAGGAAGGAUUGACAGAUUGAUAGCUCUUUCUUGAUUCUAUGGGUGGUGGUGCAUGGCCGUUCUUAGUUGGUGGUGUGAACUGUCUGGUAAUUCCGUUAACGAACGAGACCUUAGCCU